UUAGCUCAGUUGGUUAGUGCAUGGUGCUGACAAUGCCAAGGUCACGGGUUCAAUCCCCAUCCAG
This is a non-coding RNA of Podarcis lilfordi (Lilford's wall lizard), 64 nucleotides long. The record is from the annotation of a GenBank genome assembly. Lineage: Eukaryota; Metazoa; Chordata; Lepidosauria; Squamata; Lacertidae.